RNAcentral lists this long non-coding RNA (1452 nucleotides) under Homo sapiens (human). Its description in RNAcentral is "TLE1 divergent transcript". The record is from RNAcentral. Lineage: Eukaryota; Metazoa; Chordata; Mammalia; Primates; Hominidae.
GUGGGGCGCUGACGCGCUCCUCCCCGGAGCGUAUGGCAGCGCAGCGCCGGACGGGGCGUUCUCCCUCCCCCCCUCCUCUCGCUUCCAUCUCCGCCGUCUCCUCGGUCUCCCUUCCCAUCCCGGCCCCUCCUCCGCCAGCCGCGUCCUCCCGGGCUUGGUGAGGAACUGUUCCUGGAGGAGCCGCGGGACGCCAAAACCAGCCAAUGGGAAGCGGCGAUUCGCGGAGAUUGGCACUGAUGAUGGGAAGGAAUAUUGAUCUCAGCGUUACUUUGACCAUUAAUGAAUUAUGAUGGCAAUAAGCAAAGAUUCGCACCUCUAGCCUCCGGGGAGCUUAAUCUUCUGCUACAACAUUUGCAUUUGGUGUCUCUCUACUGCUCAGGCUGGAGUGCAGUGGUGCGAUCAUAGCUCACUGCAGCCUCGACUUCCUGGGCUCAGGUGACCCUCUCGCCUGAAACCAUAUUCCCCCUCAAGUAGCUGAGACUACAGAGACAAGGUCUCACUAUGUUGCCUAGGCUGGUCUUCAACUCCUGGCCUGAAGUUAUCCUCUCAUCUUGGACUGCCAAAGUGCUGGGAUUUGGCACCACUGAGCCAAAUCCCAGGCGUGAGCCACUGAGCCUGGGCUGUUCUUCCUUCUUUAUAGGCUUAAAAACCUUCAAAAAUUAUCUCAAGAUUAUCCACUCCAGGAAGAACUUGAGCCUCAUUGAUUGAAUUGGUGUACUUCUCCUCCCUUCCUAUAGCAUUUUCUUUAUGUGUCUAUCCUAGCACUUCUCACACAGUGUUGAAUUCAUCUGUCCACCUGGCUCAUCAUACAAAUUGUUCCAUGAGUUCAAGGAUCAUGCUGCAUGCUGGAUUCCCCCGGAAGCUGAUUCUGAGAUGGAGUUUAGUGUACUAAAUAUUUAUGUGGGCCUUUGGAUCAUCACCUGUGAAAAGGAAGAGAAGGAAGCAGGAGUGGACCUAGGGUGAAGUGAAGCUCUGAUGCAAACCUGACAACUGCCUCACCUGACACCAUGAAGAGCUCUGGAGCUAGAAUGGCCUUUUGUUGUUCUGAAUUGGUGUGAGGUAGCUAGGUCUUUACACCCCUGCCACCACCCAUUAUUGGGUAUGGGCCAACCAGGAAGGGGCAUGACCAUGAGUGAUGCAGCUCUGCAGCUGAAGCAAUAACUGAAGAGGCUGACAGCUGAGGGCCAUCUGCUGACAGUACUCCCUGCAGCUGGGCAGCACAUCCUUUCUCAAAAGGGGAUCAAGGCAGUUGCAUCUCCGUGUCCACCAUGGACUAUAUAUUUUUUCUUUGCAUUCCUAGGGCCUCCCAUAGUAUAUGGCACAUAGUAGGCAAAACUGGAGGUCUGUAGGGCAAAUUCAGCUAGUAGAUGAGUAUUGUUUUUUCACCCACAAAGAGAUUUUUAAAAAUUAGUUGUCAACAUUUAAAAAUAAAAAGAUUUCACAUUGAAAUUA